This 84-nucleotide transfer RNA is filed under the name Actinomycetes bacterium. Its description in RNAcentral is "tRNA-OTHER". The record is from RNAcentral. Lineage: Bacteria; Bacillati; Actinomycetota; Actinomycetes.
GGGAGCGUCAGCCGGCGCCGAUCCUGUUCACCUUGAAAGCGAGCAGUGGGCAACCACUCGGGGGUUCGAAUCCCUCCGCUUCCG